UGAGGUAUUGUAACGUCCAGUCAAUAAUCUCGCCGCUAAUCUCAGCUUCCGUGAGAUCGUAAGUGCUCACUUUGACAGGCAGCUGAUCAUCGGGGUCAACAUCGGCGACGAAAUUCACGAAAAACCGGCGGUAUGCACGGAGGGAGGAUCGAAAAUUAAAAACACUCUCUCUCUCGUCACGCGUCGUGUACUCCUCACUUUUUUUUUCUCACUGUUGAGACUCGAAUCCUCACAAUGUCUACGGAAUGAAGUUCGUCGCUAGUUGACGAUCACCCAACGCGCAUGGCUGGCUGAACUCAAAUGCAUUGGCAUAGAUGGCACUCGUAGAGGUGGGAGGGAAAUUCAAAUGACCUCUUCCACCGUGGGUCGAUUAUUUGGUCUAGAACAACGUUACAAACAUUAAAAACAUCGUUAUUAUUGCAAUUGUUAAAUUAUCGCAUAAGAGUACUUGAUUUAUUUACAAUAAAUAAUUACAUAAUUUCAGAAUAA
Molecule: long non-coding RNA, 489 nt
Organism: Athalia rosae (coleseed sawfly)
Lineage: Eukaryota; Metazoa; Arthropoda; Insecta; Hymenoptera; Athaliidae
Exons: 2
Source: RefSeq, a predicted model, not a curated record